AGCUUCAAUCAUUUCAUCUAUAGCCUGAGCACAUGAGAUCUCAUACACUAAGGAGGGUCAGGCCUGGUUAGUACUUUGGUGGGAAACCUAUAUGGAAUGCACAAGUCCUGCAGGAA
Molecule: ribosomal RNA, 116 nt
Filed under: Chrysemys picta bellii (western painted turtle)
Lineage: Eukaryota; Metazoa; Chordata; Testudines; Emydidae
Source: RNAcentral